Molecule: transfer RNA, 73 nt
Filed under: Thermoleophilia bacterium
Lineage: Bacteria; Bacillati; Actinomycetota; Thermoleophilia
Also listed under: 4 other names
Description: tRNA-Gly
Rfam family: tRNA
About the family: Transfer RNA (tRNA) molecules are approximately 80 nucleotides in length. Their secondary structure includes four short double-helical elements and three loops (D, anti-codon, and T loops).
Source: RNAcentral
GCGGACGUAGCUCAGUUGGUAGAGCGUCGGCUUCCCAAGCCGAAGGUCGUGGGUUCGAGACCCAUCGUCCGCU